RNAcentral lists this small nucleolar RNA (102 nucleotides) under Maudiozyma saulgeensis. RNAcentral's name for it is "Kazachstania saulgeensis Small nucleolar RNA SNORD18". It matches the Rfam family "Small nucleolar RNA SNORD18". Rfam says of the family: U18 is a member of the C/D class of snoRNA which contain the C (UGAUGA) and D (CUGA) box motifs. It is encoded in introns of ribosomal protein L1 in Xenopus and human, and in introns of elongation factor 1 beta in yeast. Related snoRNAs in Arabidopsis and rice have been named R63 and Z106 respectively. The record is from Rfam by way of RNAcentral. Lineage: Eukaryota; Fungi; Ascomycota; Saccharomycetes; Saccharomycetales; Saccharomycetaceae.
UGUGAAUGAUGAACUAAUUCUUUGGUCCGUGUUUAUGACAGGAAGUAAGACCCCUGGAAUGAGUGAGAAAAGAAGCGUGAGUGACAUCACAUCUCUGACAAU